Molecule: ribosomal RNA, 254 nt
Filed under: uncultured bacterium
Lineage: Bacteria
Description: partial 16S ribosomal RNA
Rfam family: Bacterial small subunit ribosomal RNA
Source: RNAcentral
CACGUAGGGUGCGAGCGUUGUCCGGAAUUAUUGGGCGUAAAGAGCUCGUAGGCGGUGUGUCGCGUCGGCCGUGAAAACUUUCAGCUUAACUGGGAGCUUGCGGUCGAUACGGGCAUCACUUGAGUUCGGCAGGGGAGACUGGAAUUCCUGGUGUAGCGGUGAAAUGCGCAGAUAUCAGGAGGAACACCGGUGGCGAAGGCGGGUCUCUGGGCCGAUACUGACGCUGAGGAGCGAAAGCGUGGGGAGCGAACAGG